Molecule: long non-coding RNA, 506 nt
Filed under: Androctonus crassicauda
Lineage: Eukaryota; Metazoa; Arthropoda; Arachnida; Scorpiones; Buthidae
Source: RNAcentral
GGUAGACGAGACCUCAGGUGGUUUGGCGCUUCUUGUGAGAGAAGGGAAGGGCCGAGCUGGCUGGCUGCCGAACAGUUCUAGGAAUAAAUUCUUCUUCUCAAUCGGAGGGCUCUACCAAUGGGCAACGUGGACUCAAUCAACAAGCAGUGUGUCCUAACCAACAGGCGAUGUGACCUGGAGGUUCCACCCUUUUUACUAACUACUCGCCCUGCCUCUUGGUCUCUCAUUGGUUGGAUUGUUUCUUGGUCCACCACUAAUAUCGAGGCUUUAAUUUCAUCUGUCCUAACAUGGACUUUUCCCGACCAUGAUGCCAUAGGCGAGGGGGCUCCUAUUGGGUGCUGUAACUAAACCCACUUAUUUUAGUCAUCUCCAUAUCCAGCUUCUUUAUUCUCCUGUCUGUGGGUCAUCGACCAUCCGCCGAUUCCACUGUUAUUUAUUCUCUAACUUAUGUAGGCGAAGGGCUCCUUUUGGGUGCUGUGACUAAGCUCACUUAUUUUGUACUAGUC